This 964-nucleotide long non-coding RNA is filed under the name Scleropages formosus (Asian bonytongue). RNAcentral's name for it is "lncRNA (ENSSFOG00015031455.1)". The record is from RNAcentral. Lineage: Eukaryota; Metazoa; Chordata; Actinopteri; Osteoglossiformes; Osteoglossidae.
UGCAGCAGGAGGUGGGAUUCGAGACAGACUCUCGCAGACACGUGUGGCUGCAGGGUACUACAGCCAGGGGUGAGAUUCAAACCUGCAUCCUUUGGAGCCAAAGGCAGCAGCUCGAACCACUACACCAACAGCUGGAUUUGUACAACGGGGUAAACACCUUAACCGAGGGUACAGCGACCCAAGGGCUCAAACCGCUACGCCACCUGCUGGGCCUGCAUGCAAGGGAUCUCUGCUGGUUCCCAGAGACACGGGGCCGCGGCCCACGGGUCCUGAGACGGACGGAGGACAAAGAGACACGUGACCCCGGCCUGUGCUGAGACCCGUGACCCGGGUCAUCCCGCCGCAGCGUCGGGAAGAACCCAGAGCGAGCAAAGUGCCGAAGGAGGAGGCGGCUUCCGCGCGCUGCCGCUCUGCGUUGGUUCGGCGAGACGCCGCCGGUUGCGCGAGACGUGACGCUCGUCCCUCUUGCUGUGACCCAGUAACGAGGGUCCCGUCAACAGGAGCCCAUUGUUCUCCCUUCACCUUCAUUCGUUCCGUUUAUUUAUUACUUUUUUUGCUCACAGAUUGCGGCUUGUGCAGAGCUGCCAGAUUCAUUGUGAAAUAAUUAAUAUUUGGCAGAUGGUUCCCUUCGAAGGAGAGCGCCCACACACACACACACACACACACACUACAGCCUAGUUAGGGUAACAUCAACAUUUUUACUCCAGUAACUUUUAGAAGCAGUCAGCUUUCACAAAGGGGUAAGAGCAGGUUACGGUGGGAACUUGAACCCCUGACCUUCUGAUGCACUGACUGUGUUUCGGCACCUCGGCCCGUUUCGGCAAACGUAUCCGGUACGUCUGCGGGCCGCCGUCUCCAUGGAAACAGCACAUCAUGCGGCUGCAGGAAGCGAUUAGUGCGUGCGGCACGCCGAUCGACGGCCAAGGGGGAGCAGUGUGAGGAGGCCCGUCACGCCGAGCUCCAG